GACGGGGGAUGCAAGCGUUAUCAGGAAUCACUGGGCGUAAAGCGUCUGUAGGUGGUGAUGCAAGUCACUGGUGCAAAACUCUGGCUCAACCGGACGAAAGCCAGUGAAACUGCAUGACUAGAGUGUGGGAGAGGUAGAAGGAAUUCCCUGAAUAGCGGUGAAAUGCGUAGAUACAGGGAAGAACACCGGAGGCGAAAGCGUUCUACUGGAACACAACUUACACUGAGAGUCGAAAGCUAGGGGAGCGAAUGUA
RNAcentral lists this ribosomal RNA (253 nucleotides) under uncultured bacterium. Its description in RNAcentral is "partial 16S ribosomal RNA". It matches the Rfam family "Bacterial small subunit ribosomal RNA", at positions 524 to 776 of the family's 1533-position model. The record is from RNAcentral.